RNAcentral lists this ribosomal RNA (1459 nucleotides) under Streptococcus thermophilus. RNAcentral describes it as "bacterial SSU rRNA". It matches the Rfam family "Bacterial small subunit ribosomal RNA". The record is from RNAcentral. Lineage: Bacteria; Bacillati; Bacillota; Bacilli; Lactobacillales; Streptococcaceae.
GGCGGCGUGCCUAAUACAUGCAAGUAGAACGCUGAAGAGAGGAGCUUGCUCUUCUUGGAUGAGUUGCGAACGGGUGAGUAACGCGUAGGUAACCUGCCUUGUAGCGGGGGAUAACUAUUGGAAACGAUAGCUAAUACCGCAUAACAAUGGAUGACACAUGUCAUUUAUUUGAAAGGGGCAAUUGCUCCACUACAAGAUGGACCUGCGUUGUAUUAGCUAGUAGGUGAGGUAAUGGCUCACCUAGGCGACGAUACAUAGCCGACCUGAGAGGGUGAUCGGCCACACUGGGACUGAGACACGGCCCAGACUCCUACGGGAGGCAGCAGUAGGGAAUCUUCGGCAAUGGGGGCAACCCUGACCGAGCAACGCCGCGUGAGUGAAGAAGGUUUUCGGAUCGUAAAGCUCUGUUGUAAGUCAAGAACGGGUGUGAGAGUGGAAAGUUCACACUGUGACGGUAGCUUACCAGAAAGGGACGGCUAACUACGUGCCAGCAGCCGCGGUAAUACGUAGGUCCCGAGCGUUGUCCGGAUUUAUUGGGCGUAAAGCGAGCGCAGGCGGUUUGAUAAGUCUGAAGUUAAAGGCUGUGGCUCAACCAUAGUUCGCUUUGGAAACUGUCAAACUUGAGUGCAGAAGGGGAGAGUGGAAUUCCAUGUGUAGCGGUGAAAUGCGUAGAUAUAUGGAGGAACACCGGUGGCGAAAGCGGCUCUCUGGUCUGUAACUGACGCUGAGGCUCGAAAGCGUGGGGAGCGAACAGGAUUAGAUACCCUGGUAGUCCACGCCGUAAACGAUGAGUGCUAGGUGUUGGAUCCUUUCCGGGAUUCAGUGCCGCAGCUAACGCAUUAAGCACUCCGCCUGGGGAGUACGACCGCAAGGUUGAAACUCAAAGGAAUUGACGGGGGCCCGCACAAGCGGUGGAGCAUGUGGUUUAAUUCGAAGCAACGCGAAGAACCUUACCAGGUCUUGACAUCCCGAUGCUAUUUCUAGAGAUAGAAAGUUACUUCGGUACAUCGGUGACAGGUGGUGCAUGGUUGUCGUCAGCUCGUGUCGUGAGAUGUUGGGUUAAGUCCCGCAACGAGCGCAACCCCUAUUGUUAGUUGCCAUCAUUCAGUUGGGCACUCUAGCGAGACUGCCGGUAAUAAACCGGAGGAAGGUGGGGAUGACGUCAAAUCAUCAUGCCCCUUAUGACCUGGGCUACACACGUGCUACAAUGGUUGGUACAACGAGUUGCGAGUCGGUGACGGCGAGCUAAUCUCUUAAAGCCAAUCUCAGUUCGGAUUGUAGGCUGCAACUCGCCUACAUGAAGUCGGAAUCGCUAGUAAUCGCGGAUCAGCACGCCGCGGUGAAUACGUUCCCGGGCCUUGUACACACCGCCCGUCACACCACGAGAGUUUGUAACACCCGAAGUCGGUGAGGUAACCUUUUGGAGCCAGCCGCCUAAGGUGGGACAGAUGAUUGGGGU